This 497-nucleotide ribosomal RNA is filed under the name uncultured bacterium. RNAcentral's name for it is "partial 16S ribosomal RNA". It matches the Rfam family "Bacterial small subunit ribosomal RNA", at positions 28 to 507 of the family's 1533-position model. The record is from RNAcentral.
GAUGAACGCUGGCGGCGUGCCUAAUACAUGCAAGUCGAGCGAACAGACGAGGAGCUUGCUCCUCUGACGUUAGUGGCGGACGGGUGAGUAACACGUGGAUAACCUACCUAUAAGACUGGGAUAACUUCGGGAAACCGGAGCUAAUACCGGGUAAUAUAUUGAACCGCAUGGUUCAAUAGUGAAAGACGGUUUUGCUGUCACUUAUAGAUGGAUCCGCGCCGCAUUAGCUAGUUGGUAAGGUAACGGCUUACCAAGGCAACGAUGCGUAGCCGACCUGAGAGGGUGAUCGGCCACACUGGAACUGAGACACGGUCCAGACUCCUACGGGAGGAAGCAGUAGGGAAUCUUCCGCAAUGGGCGAAAGCCUGACGGAGCAACGCCGCGUGAGUGAUGAAGGUCUUCGGAUCGUAAAACUCUGUUAUUAGGGAAGAACAAAUGUGUAAGUAACUAUGCACGUCUUGACGGUACCUAAUCAGAAAGCCACGGCUAACUACGUG